Molecule: ribosomal RNA, 465 nt
Filed under: Vreelandella stevensii
Lineage: Bacteria; Pseudomonadati; Pseudomonadota; Gammaproteobacteria; Oceanospirillales; Halomonadaceae
Description: partial 16S ribosomal RNA
Rfam family: Bacterial small subunit ribosomal RNA
Source: RNAcentral
CCUACGGGAGGCUGCAGUGGGGAAUAUUGGACAAUGGGCGAAAGCCUGAUCCAGCCAUGCCGCGUGUGUGAAGAAGGCCUUCGGGUUGUAAAGCACUUUCAGUGGGGAAGAAAGCCUUGGGGCUAAUACCCUCGAGGAAGGACAUCACCCACAGAAGAAGCACCGGCUAACUCCGUGCCAGCAGCCGCGGUAAUACGGAGGGUGCGAGCGUUAAUCGGAAUUACUGGGCGUAAAGCGCGCGUAGGCGGUCUGAUAAGCCGGUUGUGAAAGCCCCGGGCUCAACCUGGGAACGGCAUCCGGAACUGGCAGGCUAGAGUGCAGGAGAGGAAGGUAGAAUUCCCGGUGUAGCGGUGAAAUGCGUAGAGAUCGGGAGGAAUACCAGUGGCGAAGGCGGCCUUCUGGACUGACACUGACGCUGAGGUGCGAAAGCGUGGGUAGCAAACAGGAUUAGAUACCCCGGUAGUC